Molecule: ribosomal RNA, 445 nt
Filed under: uncultured bacterium
Lineage: Bacteria
Description: bacterial SSU rRNA
Rfam family: Bacterial small subunit ribosomal RNA
Source: RNAcentral
UCCCAGACUCCUACGGGAGGCAGCAGUGGGGGAUAUUGCACAAUGGGGGCAACCCUGAUGCAGCGACGCCGCGUGAGCGAUGGAGUACUUCGGUAUGUAAAGCUCUGUCAGCAGGGAAGAGAAUGACGGUACCUGACCAAGAAGCCCCGGCUAAAUACGUGCCAGCAGCCGCGGUAAUACGUAUGGGGCAAGCGUUAUCCGGAUUUAUUGGGUUUAAAGGGUGCGCAGGCGGAGGUGCAAGUCAGCGGUCAAAUUGCGGGGCUCAACCCCGUACUGCCGUUGAAACUGCAUCCCUUGAGUGCGCGAGAAGUAUGCGGAAUGCGUGGUGUGGCGGUGAAAUGCAUAGAUAUCACGCAGAACUCCGAUUGCGAAGGCAGCAUACCGGCGCGCAACUGACGCUCAUGCACGAAAGCGUGGGUAUCGAACAGGAUUAGAUACCCUGGUA